RNAcentral lists this long non-coding RNA (10940 nucleotides) under Eucalyptus grandis. RNAcentral describes it as "long non-coding RNA (EGRA_LNC002334)". The record is from RNAcentral. Lineage: Eukaryota; Viridiplantae; Streptophyta; Magnoliopsida; Myrtales; Myrtaceae.
AAAAAUAUAUGCUCAACAUCACUGGUCCAGGAAUUGCAAGACUAUUAUGACCUAAGAGCAGAGAUCUCUCUACGUCGCUAUGUCUUAUAGAAGGAACAGCUGAGUUUCAGCAAGUAAGACCACUUCAACCAUGACAGAAGCAACAGCUGAUAUGAUUCCUCCAUCAAGCUCGGAUAAAUGGUCGAAAUGGUAUCUCUAAGCCACAAAAGGAAAAAAGGUUCCUGUCCUAAUGUAUAGACUGACCCAGCAAGUUAGGAAGGGAGAUAAUCUCCAUCACUUGAAAAUGAGGGCAUCCCGUCCACGUCCAAAUCGGCUCCGCUCUCCUAGAUCUCAUCUAGAGGAAUAAUAAGAGUUCGGCGUUAUCACCUGAGGUAUGUGCUUGGAAGAGCUCGCAUUCUAGAUCAAUGGACCUCAUAGCAUUAAAUGGCAUUGAUCAUGUGUUCAAGCCGUCUCUAACAUCAUGUACUUUUUGAGGACUAUCUCUUGAACAAAUACCUCUAAACCCACCUUCAAGCAUCACCUGCCAGCAUCACCCGCCAUCACGCGCGAGGGGGCACCCGGGGUUCGGGUCAUGAUAGUCACGUACUAACCCACAUGAAUUGUCCAAAGUGUGGAUCCGAUAGUUCCAUGUCCCAUGCCCAACUCUCAUUUUCCUAAGAGUUAUCAAGCACAUAUUUGCAAAUAGAAGCCCCAAGAGGAAAAGAAAAUAUCAAGAAAGCCAAGCUAUCUCAACAAACUAAAAUAGACAGAGACGGUUAAAAGAUGAAAAGCUAUCAAAGUAACAAGGAAGAAUCAUCUGAGAUAUUCAUUCCCCAAUUCCAUGGCCUCCAACUUUUUCUUUACCCUCAGCAGAAGAGUUGCUUCCCAUGAAUCCUACAAUAACAAAAGAUCACCAGCAUCAGCAACAAAAGGAGUGUGCGAUCACAAAGACCACCUAUAUUCAUAUGCUAUAGCCCCAAAACCCCAUAAUGAAAGUUUGAUCUUUCCAAAAGAACAAUGACCAGGGAGAAGCUACAUAUCAACGCCAAAAGCACAGCACUUUUGUUAUUACUUCAAGAACCAAAAGCAGAGAGGGCAAACGCCAAUUUGCUUUCAUACUAUCUAGAUAAUCUCAUGACCAAUGUGAUGAAAUGAUCUUUGCCAACACAUAAGAAGGAGAAGCAAUCUGCAGAAAGGCCAAUUAGGUAGUAACAUGAGCAUGAGAGCAUUUUACCAAGGGAGUUAUGUCGGUAAACUCCUUCACAGCAUCACUCAACUUCACAGCAUCUACUUUGUCAAUUGCAUCAGCGAGGUCCUGGAAAAAGAAAGGAAUUGUCACCUCUAAUAACCAACCACAGCAAGUUGCAAAGUAAGAAAGACAACAAGAUGCAUUUUUGUUACGUGAAAAACAAAAUACUAUACAUCGAAAAGAUAAAAGGAACUAGAACCACAUCUGUCGGGAACCACGGUUCAACAUCGUGAGGAAGUAAAAUAGAGGAGUACGGAAAGUCAAUUUGAUAUAAAGGUCAAAAAGGCAACACACAGACAAAUGGAGAAGGAACACCAUCAACAGGUAAAACCUUUAGGAAUCUGCAUUCAUGUGUUUCGGAGAAAGUUGGAUCAAGUUCCUGCAAAGUCAAAUGCGUAUCCAUGAGUUCAGUCCAAGAAAUGAGGUAAUUAAGUUAAUGACCAGAAACAAGACCUGAUAGCAUGCCAAUGCAUUUUCUAUAGCAACUAUAUCGACCUUGGAGACUUGGCAAAGGCCAGCAUGCAGAAGACGUUUUCGCGGUGCAAACUUCAAACCUUCUUGAAGAUAAUAUAAUGCUAUUUCCUCAUAAAUCUCAGUAGCUUUCUGAUAUCUGAAAAGCACAACAGAUAGAAUAUUCAGUAUCCCCUUAAGAAUCUUCAAGUAACUUCAGUAACACUACACAAUUAGCCUAUGCUUCCUAUAUUCGUGUUCAGCUGAACAUCCUUCAUCUUCUUUUUCCUACGUAAUAUGUGCAUUGUACACAGGCAUAUACAUAAAUCACAUGUCUGCAUAUGAUGGAUAUUUUGUGUCAAUCAAGAAGCAACAGAUGAACAUACACGCAAUGCAACAAUAUCACGCGCCAGACAACUGACAAUUUUUAAACCCUUCGUACAUGACAAUACAAAUGAAGGUGCAAGCAUAUAAGCCAGCAAUAAGCCAAAAGAAAAUCUUUAGCCAAACAAAUCUGAACUGAAAUCAGCAAAAUCAAAGUUUUCUCCCUAAUGUCAGCUAUGGAAAAUCAAGGUGCGUAUAUUAGAGCCAAAAAAGAGGAUAAACAAUAUUUCAUAAAUUGACUUGAUUAUGUUGCCGUGUCAAACAGCAUUAGCAUCUACCAAUGCCACUUCCUAAAGAAAAGUAGGCUUACUGCUCUAGUUGAGCUGCAACCUGUGCAACCUUCUCCUUACACUCGUGGACAAACAGAAUCAAUUCUUCACUUUGGAAGAGGUCAGCUGCCCUCUCAAAAUAGUCAACAGCACGUUCAAGGUUCUGCUCAGACUCAUAUAACUCACCAAUAUCCUACACAACAAAAUCACAGGUCAAUGGAGGCUGCCUCAGUCUGGGAGAACAUAAAUCAAUGAACUAUUGUUUUCCGACGUCAACAUCCUGACAAUGUUGAACAAAUGCAACUCACCCACUGAAGGUACCUUAUCCCUUUGCUGGCAUCAUUAGUCAAUGAACAAGAGAAAGAACAGAACCAUCAGUAACCAGUUCAUGUCAUUGUAUUCUCCGAAAUUACACCAGAAUUGAGCAGUCAUACUCUGACCUCACAAUAGAGCGACCACCAGAGUCUAAAUCGAUUAACUAUUGGGUGCUCAUCGUGGAUGUCUCAUCACUUCAGUAGAUUAACUUCCACAGCUAAAAUAUCCAUAAAUACUAACAAUGCUCAGCGAAGUCACAUCUAUCACAAACACCAGUUCAUUCCACCUGAUUAAAGUCUCCCCAAUGUCAUUAUCUCAAGGCAAUAGCAGCCUGUAGUUGAUAACUUUCAUCAAACCAGACCUUAUUUCAAGAAAUCCAUCCAUCAGGUGCAUAACAAAAAUGAGCAUGCUUUUUAAAUCCUAAAAGAUACUUGGUUUCAUAGAAAGGGAAAGUCCCUGAAAACAAUGCCCCAAUACGAUGGUUCAUAAAAAUCAUGGUGAGCUAGGAAUAUCUCACAAGGCAGAUACUGCUGAACCGUGUUAAUGCUCAGAGUGCUCUCACAAGGUCGUGUAAAUGCAGGAUUGAUUCAGACUGAUGAUAAAGAGAAAAUAUGCACCUGGUAAUAUCUGGCAGCCCUCCCUAUACUCCCUAUAUGGAUGAGCACAUUCACAGCAUGCUCCAAGCAAGUUAUAGCCUCUACAUAAAAAAGGAAUACUUCAGACAAAGAUCAUCCAUAUCUUGUUUAGACAAAAGAAGGAAAAAGGCUUGGGAACAAAGAAUGAACUGAAAAAGGCAUGCUUGAUACUUACAGGGAGAUAUGCAACAGAAAUAAAUAAAAUAAAUCAAGUGAACCGCAAGGGAAAGGCUGUAAUGUCCAUCGGCCAGAGAUUGCUAACAGCCCAAAGGACACAAACACUGAGCCAAAUGGAGCCACCUUACAAAAUCACUAAGAUACAUGCUACAGAUCUCAUUUAAAAUAUGAUGGAUUCAAGAAGGUUUUGCUAAAGCCUAGACAGAAACAUCCAAAUGGUUAGAGACCAAGGAACUCUUUUACUGAGGAGUAAAUAAUCUUCUGGUCUGUUUGUGUUAUCUUACAUCAAGUAUCAACAGACGCAUACCCUUGGAGGAUGUUUUCUUGUAGCAAUCGGCAGCAAAGACAAAAGUCAGGAUAGCUCCAUAAGUAUUUUUACCCUGUUGCAUGAACCAGUUGUCAAGUUAGGCCUAAGAGAGAAGCACAUUAUCUGGUUCUCAGUCCUGGAAAAGGUCGGCACUUGCCUUUAACUGACACUUUGCUGACUCCAUAUAAGCUGAUCCAGCUCUGUCCCCUGAAAUAUUAACGAGAUUAAAAACAUUAGCGAGCCAUAGGUUGCUGAACUAGGCAUGCCCUCUAAAAGCUAACUUAGAUAGCCACAAUCCACAAAGCUCAUGGAGAGCCAAGCAAGAUCCACGGCUAUUUAAAAGACCAAGAUCAAUAUACAUCAAUCCUCCAUCGACAUAGAGUGAAUCGAAUUGAUAUAGCACAGCGGAGAGAUUGAAAUACAAGAUUCGGCGAGCUUGAAGCAAUAGGCGGCUUGGAAGAAGAGAUCGGCGGCCCCCUCGACCUUGGCGAACUUGGAACCCCACCAUUCACAGCUGUUCAACUUCUUCUCUGCUUUCCUCUCGUAUUCUUCUCCUCUCGCCAAAUGAUCGCCCAUUUCUCGGUUCUCGAUCGCCAAGUUCUUGAAUCAACGGCCAAUGGCGGGAUGUUAGUGAUGUUUGAAUACUUACUUGAUGCUCUAUAUAUCUAUAUGAUCGACCCUUUUUUUUUUCGCCAUGUUAGAAUACUCACUUGAUUCUGUAUAUCUCUAAAGAUCAUGCAUAUAUCUUAUUUAUACUGAAAAUCCUUGAUUGAUCAUAUCUGGUAUUAUGUUUUUUUUAUUACCUUAUAUAGUCAUCUAAUAAAAAGACUCCAGGCGCAAUGCCCGUCUAUUUACCUUCUUCUCUGCUUUCCUCUCAUAGUGAAAACAUGAGAGAAAGAUAGAGAGAAAAAGUCACAAAGAACCUCAAAUUAUAUCCACCGCGAAUUUUUUCUUAUGACAUAAAAAACUCAAAACUUGUACCUAUGUGGCGCAUUUAUUUUCCGUCAAGAUUCUAUUAGAUGAUUCUCAGUCAAAACAUUGUUUUCAUUUCGCUUAAGCUACAUUAGAUAUUGUCGAUCAACUAGUUCUUGAAUCAACGGCCAAAGGCGAAUGAAUAUGGGUUGUUGGACGGCGGUGGCGGGUGAUGUCCUUGAGCUUGCGGAGUCACUGGCGAUGUCGGGGAAGAGGAUGAGUGGCCGGACUAGAUGCGGAAGGUGAGGAUGCUGGAGGAGGAGAGGGAGGUUGGAGAGAGGUUGGAGAGAGGCUGGAGAGAGGGUUAAACAGUGAUUAUGUUUCAGAAAAUAAUUUUUUUAUUAGAAAUGGUCUUUUUAUAUUCUGUUUCCGAAAAUAAUUUCUGAGUAAAAAAACGCGCUUGAUAACUAUUCAAAAUUUAUAUUCCUGAAAUAGAAAUGUGUUUGGUAUGAUUCUUAAAUUUUUUAUUUCUUUUAAUUUUUUAUGCUUUUAUUAUUUUUUUUUUCUUUUUUUUCUUUUUCUCUUCUUCCUCCUUUUUUGUAGCCGGUCACCGGCCAUGACGAGAUUAGGUAAGCUCGCUUGAGGCUCGCUUGGCCUAGGCUAGGUUGAGCCUCGGCGGUGGCCAAGCGAGCAUCGUCUGGCCACCGAUGAGGCUCAACUUCGCCCAGGUAGCAUGAGGUUGGGGCUGAGCCUCAAUGUGGCUCAGCGUCGCCAAUGCCAAGCGAGGUUGUUGGCAUAUGCCAAAAGGAAAAAGAAGAAAGGGGAAGAGAAGAAGAGAAAAGAGAAGAAAAGAGGAAAAAAAACAAAAAAAACAAAAAUAGGAAUUGAUUUUAUGAAUUGUUCCUGAGAAUAAGAAGUUACUUUUUUAUACUUCUUAAUUAUGUUUCAAAAUUCUAGGAAAAUUUUUUUUUCCCACGAACAAAAAAUUUACCAAACAAUUUUUUUUUUUUUUUUUCAUUCUAGAGAACAAAAGAACAUAAAUAGUUGUUUUGGGGAUGGUUACCAAACAAGGCCUUAGCUGCCGAUUAUCAAGGACCUAAGGCUUCAUUUGGUACUCACAAUAAAAUUCGUGAUAGGAUAAAUUUAUCUUAUUAUGAGUUUGAUGCAUGUUUAAAAUAAGAUAAAAUUAGAUAUAAAAUAGAUAAAAUUAUUUUGAGAAAGAUAGGAUAAAAGUGAAUAAGAUUUUUAAUAUUCAUAAUAAGAAAAUUAUUUUUCUCAAAUAACAAACUAACAAAUUUGAAAUUAUAUUUCAAUAUAAAUAAUAUUUUAAUUUUAAUAUAAAAUUUUAAAAUAACAAAAAAUAACAAUUUAUUUUUUAAAAUAUUAUUUUUAUUUAUAUAUUAGAAUUUAAUUCUAAAUUCAAUAUAUAAAUAUAAAUAUAUAUUUAUAUUUAUUAUAUGUCGCGAUCCGAUCUCGCCACCAAUCCCCUUAUCGUGAGGAGAAUGAGAGGUAAGGUCGAGUUUAGGGAUACUUGAUAACAAGAAUUCCUACACGACUUGCAUUCCAAAAGACAUUAUCACCUCGCUUUUUGGAUCAAACUCUUUGUGAGUUCCCUCCACGAAUCACGAGCUCUCUUAAGCUUGUAUUCUGCAUGACAGCGGAGUAUCGCGACCCAUACCCCACACGGGUUACACAUCUCGAGAGAGGAGGUCAGGUGUAAAUAUUAGAUUUAAGAGCACUUUUACCAUAAUAACACCCAUAAAUAUAGCAUCACUUUAUCCUUUGGGGUAUUAUCAUAUUGAGUAUGCUAAAUUAUAGUGAGUUUCAUCAAAACCCAUACUCCUCGCGACGGGUACAUAUAAAUGGUCUAGUUGUUUUUUAAAACAACAUAAAAAUAAAUCAGCAGUUGCCACUAGUCUCGUUUCGGGGGUCCGCUAGAAAAUUGGUCGAGAAUGUUUUCUCGAUUUUUACGAUCAGAUAUUUAGAUUCUGGGACUUGGGUUAUAUUAAUAUCUCUAUUAGCGUAAGAUUACUAUGUGAAUAUAUGUACCCCUCUGACAACAAUGCAGAUUAUUUAUUCACUACUUUCUUUUGGGAAACAUCUGCAGGUCAAGGGAGUUGUAUUUUUCCUGGAAGGCGAGAAAGAAUCCUGCUGCUUUUUUUGUUCAUUAGCUUGUAUUCUAUCGACUUGUUGCGGUCUUGCUUAUUUUAGAAAUUAUGAAAUGCUUCUUGAAUUCCUAGUGAAGUGAAAACUUAAGAAUUAUUUUGCAGCAAGAAGGUGAGCAACACGACCAAGCAGGUUGUGAACUCCACAGCCUCAAGUGGUGCAACUGAAAGCUCAAGAUUUUUCAUCUUCAGCAGCAACGGAAGAAGAGCAAUUGACAAGGCUUUAGGAUCUGUCUUCUCUGUACUUUUCUCAUUCUUGUUAGCGAUUGCUCUGUGGACACCAAGCUGAAAUACAUAAACAUAAUAACAGCUCCUUCCGACCGUAUUAGCAUAACGUUUUUUUUUUUUUUUUAUUGAUCAAUUAUUUUUUGAUGUAAUUAGCACCUUAAAUGGAGUGCCUUUUUCCCUGAGCAGUCAACGUCAGAAAAAUUCGCUGCACUUCUCCGCUAAAGCGAGCGUGUGUCAAUCUUUUUUAUCAACCUUUGCCUAAAGUAAAAUGUUGAGAUAUUGAUUGAUUUUAAAGCUAUGUUUCUCGGGCAACAUUGUUGAUGGUUUUUUCGGAUGGGACAUUUAAAAGAUGGGUUCUUUCAAUCAUCUUCUGCUCUGACUUUAUGCUGGUGUGUGGCCCUCCACGUGUGCAAUUGGCAUCUAGCAUUUCCUAGUGAGAUAAAGGCCCCGUUUGGUUGGACUUUCCCAAGGGGCUUUGGGCCCCGAAAGCCCCUUGGGGAAAAAAUUUUGUGUUUGGCAAAACUUUUGAAUGCUUCUUGGUGGAAUGUGGGCAUUCCACAAGUUGAAAGCCCAAUGCUAGGGUAGGGCUGCUUUCAGCUUUGGCAUUCUGAGAGUUACUGUUCAUUCUUCUUCUUCACCGUCUUCCUUCCUCGUUCGGUUCUUCUUCCCCGGCCUGAGUUGGCCGAGUUUCGCAGUUGACGGCGCUUAGCCGCAAGCGGGCUGCCGGGAUGCCUCGCCUGAGGUCAGGCGACCUCGGGCAUUGCCUGGGUCGAGUGACCCAGGCGACGCCCUUGGUCGCGCCUGAGGUCGAGCAACCCAGGCAACGCCGCCUGAGGUCGCGUGGCCUCAGGCGGUGUCGCCUGGGUCGCUGGACCUUAGGCGACGCCGCUUGUGGCUGUGCGACCUCAAGCGGCGUUGCCUGAGGCCGCGCGACCUCAGGCGACGCCCUGGGUCGCGUGACUCAGGGCGUCGCCUGAGGUCGGCGCCACCGAGGCGACCUCAGGCGAGCUGCUCCCCGCCACCACCACCGCCACUGCCUCCCCGCCACCACCAGCGCCACCGCCACCAGCCGCACCCCCAUGAUCACCAGCUGCAUCUCCUCCUCCCUUUUCUUUUUUUUCAUUUUUCUUUUUAUUUUGAAAUAGCUUUGCAAAGCAUACACAAAAAAUUGAUUUCCAAACACACUUCCCUUCCCAAAAUGCUCAUUCUCUCAAGGAUACUUGGGGAAAUGCAAAGGUUGAACCAAACGGGGCCAAAGUCUAGACAAAGAAGCUACGAAUUGUAUUUCACUUGUAAAUAAAUAUCAAAUCAAGGGAGAAGAUCUCUAUAUAUACAAAUACAAGACUUAUUGUAGCUGUAGAUCUCUUCUCUAUUUAACGGUAGUGAUUCAUCUUCUUAACUAUUCAAUACUUGCAUUUAUUAUAACAGUAUAUAAUUACUAUAUCGCAUGUCUCGGGAAUAUUUAAUACUUGAGAAAUCGAGAGAAAUAAUCGAGGAUUGAUUGUUUAUGGAUUUGUCACGGUCCUUCAUAUGGAAACCUUCUAGAUUGUACCACUUCCUUGGAUCAUGACACUUGGGGAUUACUCUCUUAACCAUGAUAAUGCAAUGCAGAAAAUAUAUGUUUUUCCCUAAAAACUAGAGCAAACAAUUCUCAAAUAAGUAAAUGUUUAAGGGCAUUUUCCGAAUGUACUUAACAAAUGUAACAAUAUAGUACAAAUGUUAGUACUUAAAAUCUAUAGCUUUCAUAUCUAUGUGCAUAACAAGUGCAAUUGUCAACAAAAGUAUGUUCUUUGUGAAAUUUGUUCAAAAAGUCCUAAAUUUAUUAUACGAUAGUCAAUUUAGUCAUAAAUUUUUUCACAAUUUGCUAAUUUACUCUUCAUUUUUUUGACAAUCAUCCACAUAAAGUAUAAAAUUAAAUCAACACGACUAAAAUGUUUAGUAUUGAAUCGACAAAUCGUGUAAAGAUUUAGAACUAAAUUAGCACAAUUAAAAUAUUUAGAACUAAACUAACCGCUAUACAAAAAGUUUAGGAUUUUUGAACAAUUAUCCCCUCGUUGUUUUAUGAUGUUCAAGCCUCAAUCCUGGUUACCAUUCGACACCUAGAUUGCUGGAUAAGUAGGGUGUCUGGAAGAGCUCAUAUCAUGUCCGGUAGAACUGUUCAUAGGCUGAGCCUUCGCCUAAAUUUCGGCCGACAAGUUUCCAAGUUAGAGAUUUUUCAGCUUGAAAGCCAGCCGGUUCGCUUCAUCAACAAUGGGCCAAGACCGAUUUGGCUUGUGCUUAGACUAGAUUUUCCAAAAAAAUAGAAUUUAAUUUCUUUUUUAAAAGACUUGCUAAUCCAUCCUGCUCAUGCAACCAUCGCUACAAUGACUGAUGCCAGCUUCGUCGAGGGCUCGUACUAGUGAGUCCAAAAGCUUAUGCAGAGCUUUCUCCCGGAUACUAGCAUCCUUAGGCAGUUGAGCCCAUCUUUUACCGAAAGAUCACUGUUUCAGCAUGCUUUUGAUCACAAUUCAAGUUCGAUACAUAACUGCUUGCUAUCCUCGACCCUUUUUUUUAAAAACUUCGGCUGUGUUCGUUUCAUGGAAAAUAACUUCCAGGAAAAUGUUUUCCGGAUUUUCCGGUGUUCGUUUCACGGAAAAUCAACAACUCAAGGAAAAUAUUUUCCAUCAACAGUAAAAUUUACAUGCAAAUCUAAGGAAAAUAUUUUCCACUUCUGAAAAGUGAAAAACAUUUUCCACAACUUCCUCUGCCUUUUUUUUUUUUUCUUUCUUUCUUUCUUUUCUUUUCAUUUUUCUUCCUUAGCUUGGCCGGUGGCCAGCGACCGGCCGCGGUCGCGAGCCAACUCGAGCUCCGCCCCGGGCCGGCGAGGCUCCGCCUAGCCUGAUCUGUGGAAGCCCAACUCGCCCGAGCUCGACGAGCUCGAGCCUCACCAGAUCGGGCGAGGCGGAGCCUCACCGGCUUGGGGCGGAGCUCUGGCCUCACCAGAUCCGGCGAGCUGGGCGAGGCCCCGCCCAACUCGCCGGAUCUGGCGACCGGAUCUUGGUCGGCUCACCAUCGUCAAGCAUGCGGCGGCGGAGGAAGGAGGAAGGAGGAAGAAGGAGGAGCGACGGCGAAGGAAGGAGGAGCGGUGGCGGAGGAAGGAGGAGGAAGGAGAAGGAAAAGAAAAGGAAAAAAAAAAUAAAAAAAAUAAAAAAAUAAAAAAAUAAAGAAAUUAGUUAACGAACGGUGGAAAAUGUUUUCCACUCAAAAUUUAAGUAUUAGCCGAACACCGGAAAAUAUAACCAUUUUCCUGGAAAAUAACUUCUGGAAAAAUGUUUUCCGGAGAUGGUCAAUUUUCCGUGAAACGAACGGAGCCUUCGUCUAUGAAGCUUUUGAUAAGAGCACAUUCUAGCCUUAGUAGCUCGCAGGACCAUCAACUCAAUAUGCCCAUAAAUAACCGAAACAGGGAUAAUGCAAGUCUAAAAAAGCUUUUGAUAGCAUUUCGUCAGCACAAUGAAAAAAACAAAAAACCCAACAAAAAUAUAUGCUUAACAUCACUGGUCCAGGAAUUGCAAGACUAUUAUGACCUAAGAGCAGAGAUCUCUCUACGUCGCUAUGUCUUAUAGAAGGAACAGCUGAGUUUCAGCAAAUAAUACCACUACAACCAUGACAGAAGCAACAGCUGAGUAUAUAUGAUUCCUCCAUCAAGCUCCGAUAAAUGGUCGAAAUGGUUUCUCUAAGCCACAAAAAGAAAAAAGGCUCCUGUCCUAUUGUAUAGACUGACCCAGCAUGUUAGGAAGGGAAAUGAUCUCUAUCACUUGAAAAUGAGGGCAUCCCGUCCAGGUCCGACACCGAUAUAAUGUAUAGGUACACCGACAAGCUCUUCAACCCUUU